ACGUUAGCGGCGGACGGGUGAGUAACACGUGGGUAACCUACCUAUAAGACUGGGAUAACUUCGGGAAACCGGAGCUAAUACCGGAUAAUAUUUCGAACCGCAUGGUUCGAUAGUGAAAGGUGGUUUUGCUAUCACUUAUAGAUGGACCCGCGCCGUAUUAGCUAGUUGGUAAGGUAACGGCUUACCAAGGCGACGAUACGUAGCCGACCUGAGAGGGUGAUCGGCCACACUGGAACUGAGACACGGUCCAGACUCUUACGGGAGGCAGCAGCG
RNAcentral lists this ribosomal RNA (273 nucleotides) under uncultured Staphylococcus sp. RNAcentral describes it as "partial 16S ribosomal RNA". It matches the Rfam family "Bacterial small subunit ribosomal RNA", at positions 89 to 356 of the family's 1533-position model. Lineage: Bacteria; Bacillati; Bacillota; Bacilli; Caryophanales; Staphylococcaceae. The record is from RNAcentral.